GACGAACGCUGGCGGCGUGCUUAACACAUGCAAGUCGAACGGUAAGGCCCUUCGGGGUACACGAGUGGCGAACGGGUGAGUAACACGUGGGUGAUCUGCCCUGCACUUCGGGAUAAGCCUGGGAAACUGGGUCUAAUACCGGAUAGGACCACUGCCUGCAUGGGUGGUGGUGGAAAGCUUUUGCGGUGUGGGAUGGGCCCGCGGCCUAUCAGCUUGUUGGUGGGGUGAUGGCCUACCAAGGCGACGACGGGUAGCCGGCCUGAGAGGGUGACCGGCCACACUGGGACUGAGAUACGGCCCAGACUCCUACGGGAGGCAGCAGUGGGGAAUAUUGCACAAUGGGCGCAAGCCUGAUGCAGCGACGCCGCGUGAGGGAUGACGGCCUUCGGGUUGUAAACCUCUUUCAGCACCGACGAAGCGCAAGUGACGGUAGGUGCAAAAGAAGGACCGGCCAACUACGUGCCAGCAGCCGCCGUAA
Molecule: ribosomal RNA, 478 nt
Filed under: uncultured bacterium
Lineage: Bacteria
Description: partial 16S ribosomal RNA
Rfam family: Bacterial small subunit ribosomal RNA
Source: RNAcentral